CUCUGGUUGGUGGGUCGGAUGAGCUUGCAAUAUCUCCGAGUUGUGCACAAGAAGACCUUUUGUGUAGGUUUAUUCUUGACGGACAUGCCCGACGAGGAUAUUUCGAGGUGAUGAAGUAUUCAGCAUUCGACUCAUCCUUUCUUUCUUUGACAUAUGGGUGCACAAUAUUGAUCUCCUUUUCUGUUUUACUCACCCGAGCGGCAACGCGAAGCUGCAGUUGCUGAAAAUAGCGGUGCUAGCAUGAGGAUCACAUGUUCGUCUGUCUCUUAUUUCUAUCUCUUUUGGUAUAUCUUUCUCAGUCCCGAUACCUUUUGAUGAUACAGUUUUUCAUGUUUGAGUUGAUCAUUCAGUAAGAUCAAGCAACAUAAUGCUACAACUACUUCUUACAGUUCCAGUUAGACAAGAUAAAUAUGAAUAUCAAAAGGGUUGUUGGAUAUCGGCAAUGGUGCAAUAAAUUUUGGAAUGCCAUUCGAUUUGCAAUGGGCAGGCUUGGUGAUCAUUACAGUCCACUAGCAAUUAUCGUUGUGUCUCCAGUGCCUCCAAUCUGCAAAUAGAUACUCUCAGUAUUUAAUAAGGCUAUUGCAAUUAUUUGAACUGGUUUAAGGCGUGAUCAGAAGUCCUCCAGCUUAUGGAUUCCUGAAACUCCGGCGUGGAGCAGUGCCAAAAAGUCUAGCUUCACGGAGCCAGAUUCGAGAAAGCCUGCCCAAUUUGAUGUACAAAUAUACAUUUAUAGGUGGAUCUGAUUAAAGGGGCAUUGGCACCAUUGGCAUCUUGAUGGCAGAGCAAUGAUGCGCAUCCACUGGUUAUAGAGAGAUAUGAGGUCAAUUAUAUCAGUGCAAAUAUCAAGAAGGUGCAUCAAAAGUAUGGAACUGUGUGCGCUGCCGACUUCACUCACCACUAUAAAGUUUUAGCCCUAAUAAGACCAGUUCAUAUUAACACUAUGUGUACCUGUCUCACCUAUCUAUCUUGUUUCGUAAGAUCAGGUUUUUGAACACAUGUAUCUAUUUGGUAGAUCACCGGUGGUUCUUUCCA
Molecule: non-coding RNA, 1032 nt
Organism: Lolium perenne
Lineage: Eukaryota; Viridiplantae; Streptophyta; Magnoliopsida; Poales; Poaceae
Source: RefSeq, a predicted model, not a curated record